RNAcentral lists this long non-coding RNA (1699 nucleotides) under Sus scrofa (pig). Its description in RNAcentral is "lncRNA (ENSSSCG00035004560.1)". Lineage: Eukaryota; Metazoa; Chordata; Mammalia; Artiodactyla; Suidae. The record is from RNAcentral.
AGACUCAGCUUUAGAGUUGCAUAGCAUAUGAAGGCAGAAAAUUUUUCCUACCUGUCUGUGUCAACUCUUUGUCAAAAUACAUAAUACUAAGGAUUGUGAUUAAAAAUACUGCUGAGCUGGACAUGCCUUGCCAAUACUUUCUUCAUAAAAACGUAGGCCUUUUUUACCCAGUACUCUUAAGACUUUCUGCAGGCCUGCUGAUAAGACUCACUACUAUUCAGAGCAUAAUUAGUUAAUUAUGAAUAGGGAAAUACAAAGUUAUAUGGGGCUUGAGCACAGCAGGUUAUACUGCUGAAAAAUUUCCAAGGGCAUGAGCAGAUGGAGAUCAGUUUAUUAAAGAACAAAGCAGACAUGUUUCAGGUAUGGCAAUGUCUAAUCAUUCUCUGAUGCUGUGAAGAGGUACCUGACCUUAUUGUGUAUUUUUAUAUGAAUUAUUUUAUUUCAUGUUUUAUUUUUUUUAUUUCACUUUUUAUCUUCUAAUUUGGCUGUUGUAGAUGUAGCUAAUUGAAUUGAUCUCAUCAUUUAAGUGAUCAUUAAAUGUGAAUUUGGAUUUCAAUAAUUAUCUGAAUAUUUUUCAGAUUAAUACACUUUAAUAUGUAGAGAAUAUUUUUGUCCUUCUUAUUCAUUCAUUAUUGCUCAUGAUUUAAAAGUCUAUAUUGACAUUAAUGAAAAAAAUAUGUUCAAGACCUCCACAUUAGUCUUUAUUUGUGAUAUAUGAUAUAAAAGACAUUUUCUAAUUAUUUUAUUUAGAAAAUGCUCAUAUAGGUGAUUUACACUAAAAGUGCUGUGAAAUAUAAGGAAUAAAGUUUCCCGUUAUUUCUAUUAGAUAUUAUUCUAAUAUUGGUAGAAUGAAGAAUUUUGUGCAAUCUUGUAUUAUCUUAAAAGUGAUUUAACUCAUGGGCCACAAACCUGCAUUUUUCUCCAUCUAUUAAAAUGAGUUAUUGAAAUAAUUGGCUACUUACUGUUCAGUGAAAGAGUCUAUCACUGCUGGUUAAUACAUUUGUGUAGGUGUUCCAGCUGCUAGCAAGAUUUUGUGUAAGUAAUGUUAAUAUUCAAGACCAAUUCUUUUCAUCUUUCUUACAUAGAAUUUUUACAUAGAAAUGAUGAAAAAGUAAGAAAAUCCAACCCAUCAAUUCUCUUGGCAUUUAGUUGUGUUUUGUUUUGUUUUAUAAGUGAACAGAUGUAAGAGUAUAUUCUCAGAGUCACUUCUUUAGUCUAUAUAGACUUAGAAGGGAUCUAAAUCAUGUUUAUUGACAUAAAAAAUAGCUGUGAUUAUGAAUCAACCUAUAUAUCAUGUUUCAAGUCCCAUAUUGUGGAUUUCUUCCAAAAUUUAGCUCAUCAUCUAGCUAUAAAUUAUAUAUAUGGGAGAUGCACUUAAUUUCUUGAUUAGUUUGAAAAAGUUAUCUAGUGUACUCUCUGGGAAAAUUAUCAAUUGGAAAUAAAGGGAAUUUAAGAAACCCUUGGGAGGAGUUUCCAUUUUGGCUCAGUGGUAACAAACACAACUAGUAUCCAUGAGAAUGUGGGUUCGAUCCCUGGCCUCACUCAGUAGGUUGAGGAUCCAGCAUUGGCCGUGAGCUGUGAUGUAGGUGUAGGUAGUAGACGCAGCUCGGAUCUGGUAUUGCUGUGGCUGUGUAGGCCGGCAGCUGCAGCUCUAUCCCUAGCCUAGGAACCUCCCCAUGCUGCAGGUGUGGCACUAAAA